GGGCCCGCACAAGCGGUGGAGUAUGUGGUUUAAUUCGAUGCAACGCGAAGAACCUUACCAGGGUUUGACAUCCUGCGAAUCUCUUGGAAACGAGAGAGUGCCUUCGGGAACGCAGUGACAGGUGGUGCAUGGCUGUCGUCAGCUCGUGUCGUGAGAUGUUGGGUUAAGUCCCGCAACGAGCGCAACCCACGUCGUUAGUUGCCAGCAUUUAGUUGGGCACUCUAGCGAGACCGCGAGGUUGAGCGAAUCCCAUAAAGCCGGUCUCAGUUCGGAUUGGAGUCUGCAACUCGACUCCAUGAAGUUGGAGUCGCUAGUAAUCCCAGAUCAGCAACGCUGGGGUGAAUACGUUCCCG
Molecule: ribosomal RNA, 353 nt
Filed under: uncultured bacterium
Lineage: Bacteria
Description: bacterial SSU rRNA
Rfam family: Bacterial small subunit ribosomal RNA
Source: RNAcentral